Molecule: unclassified non-coding RNA, 413 nt
Filed under: soil metagenome
Description: partial contains 5.8S ribosomal RNA, internal transcribed spacer 2, and large subunit ribosomal RNA
Rfam family: 5.8S ribosomal RNA (bases 1-120)
Source: RNAcentral
GAUGAAGAACGUAGCGAAUUGCGAUAAGUAAUGUGAAUUGCAGAAUUCAGUGAAUCAUCGAAUCUUUGAACGCACCUUGCGCUCUUUGGUAUUCCGAAGAGCAUGCCUGUUUGAGUGUCAUGAAAAUAUCAACCUUGACUUGGGUUUUGUGCUCUAGUCUCGGCUUGGAAUUGGGUGCUUGCCGCUUUUACGAGCGGCUCACCUUAAAUGUAUUAGCUGGAUCUGUCUUUGAGACUUGGUUUGACUUGGCGUAAUAAGUAUUUCGCUAAGGACAUUCUUCGGAGUGGCCUCGUUUCUAGGACGCUUGUCCGCUUUCCAAUACAAGUUCCACCUCGUGGACAUGACUUUUUAUUAUCUGGCCUCAAAUCAGGUAGGACUACCCGCUGAACUUAAGCAUAUCAAUAAGCGGAGGA